UACGUAGGGUGCGAGCGUUACUCGGAAUUACUGGGCGUAAAGCGUGCGCAGGCGGCGCGUUAAGACAGGUGUGAAAGCCCCGAGCUUAACUUGGGAAUUGCGCUUGUGACUGGCGAGCUGGAGUGUGGCAGAGGGAGGUGGAAUUCCACGUGUAGCAGUGAAAUGCGUAGAGAUGUGGAGGAACACCGAUGGCGAAGGCAGCCUCCUGGGCCAGUACUGACGCUCAUGCACGAAAGCGUGGGGAGCAAACAGG
RNAcentral lists this ribosomal RNA (253 nucleotides) under uncultured bacterium. RNAcentral's name for it is "partial 16S ribosomal RNA". It matches the Rfam family "Bacterial small subunit ribosomal RNA", at positions 524 to 776 of the family's 1533-position model. The record is from RNAcentral.